RNAcentral lists this ribosomal RNA (125 nucleotides) under Fundulus heteroclitus (mummichog). Lineage: Eukaryota; Metazoa; Chordata; Actinopteri; Cyprinodontiformes; Fundulidae. The record is from RNAcentral.
AUUACCGGCCACAUGGCUCUGAGGAACCCUUUCAGCGCUCUGAAUUCAUGUGACCUUUGAACAAGGUAGGGCCUGGUUAGUACUUGGAUGGGGGGGCCUAUCAGGAGUACCGGGGGCUGUUAGCU